Bactrocera latifrons is the source of this 319-nucleotide long non-coding RNA. RefSeq lists it as uncharacterized. NCBI's taxonomy places the organism in Eukaryota, Metazoa, Arthropoda, Insecta, Diptera, Tephritidae. The record is from RefSeq and is a predicted model, not a curated record. The transcript has 3 exons.
UGAAGAAGAUGCAAUUGGCCCAAAAAAUCUUAAUAGGAAUGCAGUACCUACAUUGCAUCUGGUUCGCAGGUAUGAAAAAAUGUGAUGUCUACCCAAAGAUGUACUGAAUUACCCAUUUUAUUACUUAAGAACGAACAACCCUGUCCACAUUAUGAAAGCUUGCUAUUGGUCUACAGAAAUUUCAUCAAAAUCGGUCCAGCCGUUAAGGAAAAGUUCAAUUACAAACACACGAUGAGGCCCAACCCAAUUAUUUCAACCGGUGCGUCCGUACAAAAGUUGCUGCGUUAGCAAAUUUGGGUAAAGUCCUGCAAUCUUCACU